AACGAACGCUGGCGGCAUGCCUAACACAUGCAAAUCGAACGAGACCUUCGGGUCUAGUGGCGCACGGGUGCGUAACGCGUGGGAACCUGCCCUUAGGUUCGGAAUAACUCCCCGAAAGGGGUGCUAAUACCGGAUAAUGUCUUCGGACCAAAGAUUUAUCGCCUUUGGAUGGGCCCGCGUUGGAUUAGCUAGUUGGUAGGGUAAAAGCCUACCAAGGCGACGAUCCAUAGCUGGUCUGAGAGGAUGAUCAGCCACACUGGGACUGAGACACGGCCCAGACUCCUACGGGAGGCAGCAGUGGGGAAUAUUGGACAAUGGGCGAAAGCCUGAUCCAGCAAGGCCGCGUGAGUGAUGAAGGCCUUAGGGUUGUAAAGCUCUUUUACCCGGGAUGAAAUGACAGUACCGGGAGAAUAAGCUCCGGCUAACUCCGUG
This 432-nucleotide ribosomal RNA is filed under the name uncultured bacterium. RNAcentral describes it as "partial 16S ribosomal RNA". It matches the Rfam family "Bacterial small subunit ribosomal RNA", at positions 29 to 507 of the family's 1533-position model. The record is from RNAcentral.